AGUCAUAUGCUUGUCUCAAAGAUUAAGCCAUGCAUGUCUAAGUAUAAGCAAUUAUACAGCGAAACUGCGAAUGGCUCAUUAUAUAAGUUAUCGUUUAUUUGAUAGUACCUUACUACUUGGAUAACCGUGGUAAUUCUAGAGCUAAUACAUGCUAAAAAUCCCGACUUCGGAAGGGAUGUAUUUAUUAGAUUAAAAACCAAUGCCCUUCGGGGCUCUCUGGUGAUUCAUGAUAACUUCUCGAAUCGCAUGGCCUUGUGCCGGCGAUGGUUCAUUCAAAUUUCUGCCCUAUCAACUUUCGAUGGUAGGAUAGUGGCCUACCAUGGUUCAACGGGUACGGGAU
RNAcentral lists this ribosomal RNA (340 nucleotides) under uncultured eukaryote. RNAcentral's name for it is "SSU rRNA". It matches the Rfam family "Eukaryotic small subunit ribosomal RNA", at positions 22 to 368 of the family's 1831-position model. The record is from RNAcentral.